GCCGGGGUGGCGUAAUGGUAGCCGCGCUGGUUUUAGGAACCAGUUCCGUAAGGAGUGGAGGUUCAAGUCCUCUCCCCGGCACAA
RNAcentral lists this transfer RNA (84 nucleotides) under Candidatus Zambryskibacteria bacterium RIFOXYC1_FULL_39_10. RNAcentral's name for it is "tRNA-Leu". It matches the Rfam family "tRNA". Rfam says of the family: Transfer RNA (tRNA) molecules are approximately 80 nucleotides in length. The record is from RNAcentral. RNAcentral also lists the same sequence under 1 other name. Lineage: Bacteria; Candidatus Zambryskiibacteriota.